GUUCCUAUGCAGAGGCCCAUCUGGAGAUCUGGACACACAGACGGGGCAGAGCUAGUUCAGGAUGAGUCCUUGGGUGGUCCCAAGGAGGAGGGGAUGGCCAGACACGUGAACAUGGUGGAAUGCGGUUUGCUGCCUGAAGCACAAGGGCUGGGGCUCCCUGCACUGGACGGCGACCCUUUGGCAGACCCAGGCUCCAUCAGGGACUCAGGCUCAGCUGGAAUGGUCUCACCUGGAUCCUGCCCAGAAACCCCAGAGGAGGCAUCCCACAGCCCAGGAGUAGAAUCUAAAGGCCCUGAAGCCUUCAGAUGAGGAAAGAGCACACUGGGUGGUAGGAACAUCUCCCACUUCUAAGUGCCCUGGGCUUGCUCCCCCUUAGGUCUAGGCGCAUAGGUUGGAAGAGUUGAGUUGGAAAAUGGAAUAUCUAGCCAAAUUCCUUCAUCCAUCUACCCACCCAUUCACUUCUCCUGUCUGCCCUUCCUCUCUUCCGUGGCCCACUCCUUACUUCCUUCCCUCUCUCCUUCCUUCCUGCCUCCUUUUCUUCAUUAUUCAUACUUUCUGUACUUCCCCCUUCCUUCCUUUCCUUCCUUCCUCCUUUCUGUCCUUCUUUCCUUCUGUCCCUCCAUCCUUCUACCCACUAUGCAUGUAUCCACCCAUCUACCCACACACCUGUCCAACCAUCCAUCGUCCUACCUCACAAACCUCUACUGAGUAUCUACUAUGGGUUAGGCACUAUGCUAACAGGAGAUGCACCAAGCCCCUCAAGGAGCUUGUAGUCUAGCUGGAUAGAGUCUCGUACACAGAUCACUUUUCCCACAGCACGGCUGAUGCCAUCAUACAGAUAGAAGCAGAGGAGACAGAAGGGCCACAAAGGAGGGGUAGGCAUGCCCAGGGCCACAAAGGAGGGCUAGGCAUGCCCAGCAAAAGCCCUCAGCACAGCCCUAAUUCUGAUGAAUGAGUUUGUUUAACCUGUUUUGAAUGUUUUUUGAAUAUGACUUUAAUAUGAAGCCUAUCAUGGAAUACAAAUUUUUGAAUUAAUUGAAUAUAUUUACAUAUAUUUUAGUUAACUUGUUUAUUGUCCAUCUCUCCCACUGGUAUGGGGUUUCCAUGAGAGCACUGACUGCUGCUGUCUAGUUCACUGCUGCUGUCUAGUUCACUGCUGUAUCCCAGGACCUAGAGUGCUGGCCAGCACAUAGUAGGUGCUCAAUAAACUUUUAUACACUAAAUACACUUCUCUUCUGGGUCCUAUCUUAGUCCAUUCAUGCUGCUAUAAAAAUAUCAGGGACUGGCCUGGUGCGGUGGCUCAAGCCUGUAAUCCCAGCACUUUGGGAGGCCGAGAUGGGCGGAUCACGAGGUCAGGAGAUCGAGACCAGCCUGGCUAACAUGGUGAAACCCCAUCUCUACUAAAAAAAUACAAAAAACUAGCCAGGCGAGGUGGCAGACGCCUGUAGUCCCAGCUACUCGGAAGGCUGAGGCAGGAGAAUGGCGAGAACCCCGGAGGCGGAGCUUGCAGUGAGCUGAGAUCCGGCCACUGCACUCCAGCCUGAGCAACAGAGUGAGACUCUGUCUCAAAAAAAAAAAAAAAAAAAAAAA
This is a long non-coding RNA of Macaca fascicularis (crab-eating macaque), 1590 nucleotides long. The record is from Ensembl. NCBI's taxonomy places the organism in Eukaryota, Metazoa, Chordata, Mammalia, Primates, Cercopithecidae.